UUAGGUAAUACGUGAGUGACCCUUNCCAUGACUCUGGGAUAAGCCCGGGAAACUGGGUCUAAUACCGGAUAUUUCGCUUCCUCCUGCCUGGGGGGUGGUGGAAAGGGGNUCUGUNCUGGUCUUGGAUGGGCUCACGGCCUAUCAGCUUGUUGGUGGAGGUAAUGGCUCACCAAGUCAGACGNCGGGUAGCCGGCCUGAGAGGGUGACCGGCCAACAACUGGGACUUGAGNACACGGCCCAGAACUUCCUACGGGAGGCAGCAGUGGGGAAUAUUGCACAAUGGGCGCAAGCCUGAUGCAGCGACGCCGCGUGAGGGAUGACGGCCUUCGGGUUGUAAACCUCUUUCAGCAGGGAAGAAGCGAAAGUGACGGUACCUCAG
RNAcentral lists this ribosomal RNA (379 nucleotides) under Kocuria sp. RNAcentral describes it as "bacterial SSU rRNA". It matches the Rfam family "Bacterial small subunit ribosomal RNA", at positions 106 to 484 of the family's 1533-position model. Lineage: Bacteria; Bacillati; Actinomycetota; Actinomycetes; Micrococcales; Micrococcaceae. The record is from RNAcentral.